RNAcentral lists this ribosomal RNA (253 nucleotides) under uncultured bacterium. Its description in RNAcentral is "partial 16S ribosomal RNA". It matches the Rfam family "Bacterial small subunit ribosomal RNA", at positions 524 to 776 of the family's 1533-position model. The record is from RNAcentral.
CACGUAGGGCGCAAGCAUUGUCCGGAAUUAUUGGGCGUAAAGAGCUCGUAGGCGGUCUGUUGCGUCCGCUGUGAAAACCCGGGGCUUAACCCUGGGCUGGCAGUGGAUACGGACAGACUAGAGGUAGGUAGGGGAGAAUGGAAUUCCCGGUGUAGCGGUGAAAUGCGCAGAUAUCGGGAGGAACACCGGUGGCGAAGGCGGUUCUCUGGGCCUUACCUGACGCUGAGGAGCGAAAGCGUGGGGAGCGAACAGG